CCUACGGGAGGCAGCAGUGGGGAAUAUUGGGCAAUGGAGGAAACUCUGAACCAGCAACGCCGCGUGAAUGAUGAAGGUCUUCGGAUGGUAAAGUUCUUUUCUAAGGGAAGAAGAAUGUGACGGUACCUUAGGAAUAAGCCUCGGCUAACUACGUGCCAGCAGCAGCGGUAAUAAGUAGGAGGCAAGCGUUAUCCGGAAUGACUGGGCGUAAAGGGUGCGUAGGUGGUUGGUUAAGUUGGUAGCGUAACUCCGAGGCUCAACCUGGGCACUACUACCAAAACUGUCGGACUUGAGUGCAGGAGGAGUGACUGGAAUUUCUAGUGUAGCGGUGGAAUGCGUAGAUAUUAGGCGGAACACCAGUGGCGAAGGCGAGUUGCUGGACUGUAACUGACACUGAGGCACGAAAGCGUGGGGAGCAAACAGGAUUAGAUACCCCAGUAGUC
This 443-nucleotide ribosomal RNA is filed under the name uncultured bacterium. RNAcentral's name for it is "partial 16S ribosomal RNA". It matches the Rfam family "Bacterial small subunit ribosomal RNA", at positions 338 to 795 of the family's 1533-position model. The record is from RNAcentral.